RNAcentral lists this transfer RNA (85 nucleotides) under Peniophora sp. CONT. RNAcentral's name for it is "tRNA-Pro". It matches the Rfam family "tRNA". From Rfam's summary of the family: Transfer RNA (tRNA) molecules are approximately 80 nucleotides in length. Their secondary structure includes four short double-helical elements and three loops (D, anti-codon, and T loops). Further hydrogen bonds mediate the characteristic L-shaped molecular structure. tRNAs have two regions of fundamental functional importance: the anti-codon, which is responsible for specific mRNA codon recognition, and the 3' end, to which the tRNAs corresponding amino acid is attached (by aminoacyl-tRNA synthetases). tRNAs cope with the degeneracy of the genetic code in two manners: having more than one tRNA (with a specific anti-codon) for a particular amino acid; and 'wobble' base-pairing, i.e. permitting non-standard base-pairing at the 3rd anti-codon position. Lineage: Eukaryota; Fungi; Basidiomycota; Agaricomycetes; Russulales; Peniophoraceae. The record is from RNAcentral.
GGCCUGAUGGUCUAGUAGUAUGAUUCCUUCUUAGGGCUAGAGAGCAAUUUGGAGGAGGUCCCGGGUUCAAUUCCCGGUCAGGCCC